This 141-nucleotide non-coding RNA is filed under the name Acinetobacter variabilis. Its description in RNAcentral is "RT-14 RNA". It matches the Rfam family "RT-14 RNA". From Rfam's summary of the family: Cloacimonetes, Firmicutes, Proteobacteria. Lineage: Bacteria; Pseudomonadati; Pseudomonadota; Gammaproteobacteria; Moraxellales; Moraxellaceae. The record is from RNAcentral.
CUCUUAGAGCGUGUCAGAAGCUUAAUCCCUAAUGGGGGUUAGGACAGAACACUUUAAAAGGAUGCACACUCCUUAGAUGAAAAUCUAAAAAACUAAACAGGCGGCAUAGCUGAGUAGCAAUAGCGAAAACUUAUGCCGCUU